Molecule: ribosomal RNA, 449 nt
Filed under: uncultured bacterium
Lineage: Bacteria
Description: partial 16S ribosomal RNA
Rfam family: Bacterial small subunit ribosomal RNA
Source: RNAcentral
GUCGAGAAUCUUUCACAAUGGGGGCAACCCUGAUGGAGCGACGCCGCGUGGAGGAUAAGGUCUUCGGAUUGUAAACUCCUGUCAUGCGUGAACAAGGUUGCUUGGUUAAUACCUGGGCAAAUUGAUGGUAACGCAAGAGGAAGAGACGGCUAACUCUGUGCCAGCAGCCGCGGUAAUACAGAGGUCUCAAGCGUUGUUCGGAAUCACUGGGCGUAAAGGGUGCGUAGGUGGCGUGGUAAGUCAGAUGUGAAAGCCGGGGGCUCAACCUCGGAACUGCAUCAGAUACUGCCAUGCUAGAGUACUGGAGAGGUGACUAGAAUUCUCGGUGUAGCAGUGAAAUGCGUAGAUAUCGAGAGGAAUACCAAAGGCGUAGGCAGGUCACUGGACAGUUACUGACACUGAGGCACGAAGGCCAGGGGAGCAAACGGGAUUAGAUACCCGUGUAGUCC